RNAcentral lists this ribosomal RNA (373 nucleotides) under uncultured bacterium. Its description in RNAcentral is "bacterial SSU rRNA". It matches the Rfam family "Bacterial small subunit ribosomal RNA", at positions 525 to 896 of the family's 1533-position model. The record is from RNAcentral.
ACGAACCGUACGAACGUUAUUCGGAUUCACUGGGCUUAAAGGGUGCGUAGGCGGCUGGGAAAGUUGGGUGUGAAAUCCCUCGGCUCAACCGAGGAAUUGCGCCCAAAACUUCCUGGCUUGAGGGAGAUAGAGGUGAGCGGAACUAAUGGUGGAGCGGUGAAAUGCGUUGAUAUCAUUAGGAACACCUGUGGCGAAAGCUGCUCACUGGGUCUUUUCUGACGCUGAGGCACGAAAGCUAGGGGAGCGAACGGGAUUAGAUACCCCGGUAGUCCUAGCCGUAAACGAUGAGCACUGGGUUGAGGGGACUUCCACAUCCUCUCGGCCGUAGCGAAAGUGUUAAGUGCUCCGCCUGGGGAGUAUGGUCGCAAGGCUG